UAGGGAAUCUUCCACAAUGGACGCAAGUCUGAUGGAGCAACGCCGCGUGAGUGAAGAAGGUUUUCGGAUCGUAAAGCUCUGUUGUUGGUGAAGAAGGAUAGAGGUAGUAACUGGCCUUUAUUUGACGGUAAUCAACCAGAAAGUCACGGCUAACUACGUGCCAGCAGCCGCGGUAAUACGUAGGUGGCAAGCGUUGUCCGGAUUUAUUGGGCGUAAAGCGAGCGCAGGCGGAAGAAUAAGUCUGAUGUGAAAGCCCUCGGCUUAACCGAGGAACUGUAUCGGAAACUGUUUUUCUUGAGUGCAGAAGAGGAGAGUGGAAUUCCAUGUGUAGCGGUGGAAUGCGUAGAUAUAUGGAAGAACACCAGUGGCGAAGGCGACUCUCUGGUCUGCAACUGACGCUGAGGCUCGAAAGCAUGGGUAGCGAACAGG
RNAcentral lists this ribosomal RNA (429 nucleotides) under bacterium. RNAcentral's name for it is "partial 16S ribosomal RNA". It matches the Rfam family "Bacterial small subunit ribosomal RNA", at positions 355 to 776 of the family's 1533-position model. The record is from RNAcentral.